Molecule: long non-coding RNA, 963 nt
Organism: Syngnathus acus (greater pipefish)
Lineage: Eukaryota; Metazoa; Chordata; Actinopteri; Syngnathiformes; Syngnathidae
Exons: 2
Source: RefSeq, a predicted model, not a curated record
GGCCCGCAUGACUCGUCCAGUCAAAUUUGGAGAUUGACAGGCGGCGUGAGAAGUAGGAAGGCGUCAGAGAGCGAGCUAAACUCGUCCGCCUGCGGGAGUCGAUAGGCCUUAUCACGACACUCAAAUGCUCGUUCGCUUCCAUCCAAGCGCUCUCAAGAAAAACAAAGACUACAAACGACAAAAUGUGGCAAUUCAAGUCAUUCUCCAGCCCCCCUUUUUUUUUUUUUUUUUUUUUUAAACAAGCGUGCCAAACAGAUUUAACAAAUCCAUCAGACAUCCAAGAAGGAAGGUUGCCAGGUUGGUCUUCUGCCGGGAUGGUGCAGAGAGGCUGAGGCAGCAGAUCCUGCUAAGAAUCGCUAAAUCAGCCAGACGGGUGGCGACCGAGAGGGGGCACCCACUAAUGACAAGGAGGUUCGCAUUACAGAUUUUUUUUUUAAUUAACUCCAUUUUGUAACUCUGGUGACAAGCAGGUUGCCGUCUGUCACCUGGUGCAAUGAUGGCAGCUGUCCAUGGGUCUGCUGGACAGUAAGAACAAUGGCGUCACACGGGGAGGAGGAGGGGGGCCAAGAUCCCAAUCAGCCCAAGAAUGUGAAAGAGGAAGCCCGGGGAACAAUGUGCAGCGCUACCCGUGCCGUUCUGGGCCCGCCCCCCCUGCCUUGGCCCGCUUUCAAACGCAGGAGAAAACAGGAAAACUCGUGGGCUGGAACCCAAAGACCCAAGUCUGUGUACUGUGUGGAGCGGGUGAUACUGUAAGUCAUGAGAAUCACUUGGACAGUGAACUUAUUUAACCUGCCUCACAGCCACAGAUGAGCUCGAAAACAAAGUUAGACUGCCCCCUGGUGGCAAUAGUCACACAAGACAUCUAUCAUGGAAAAGUCUACACACCCGUGUUCAAAUGCCAGGCUUUUGUGAUAUAUAAAAUAAAUAUUCUUUAUUAUUGUGACCUGUACAAUUGAGUUGGGG